RNAcentral lists this ribosomal RNA (594 nucleotides) under Eurychaeta palpalis. Its description in RNAcentral is "partial 12S ribosomal RNA". The stretch from base 1 to 384 matches the Rfam family "Microsporidia small subunit ribosomal RNA", at positions 780 to 1311 of the family's 1311-position model. Lineage: Eukaryota; Metazoa; Arthropoda; Insecta; Diptera; Calliphoridae. The record is from RNAcentral.
AAAAAAUUUGGCGGUAUUUUAGUCUAUUCAGAGGAACCUGUUCUAUAAUCGAUAAUCCACGAUGGACCUUACUUAAAUUUGUAAUCAGUUUAUAUACCGUCGUUAUUAGAAUAUUUUAUAAGAAUGAUAAUUUUCUAAAUUUUUUAUAAGAAAGUAUAUCAGAUCAAGGUGUAGCUAAUAUUUAAGAAGAAAUGGGUUACAAUAAAAUUAUUUAAAUGGAUAUAAAUUUGAAAUGUUUAUUGAAGGUGGAUUUGAUAGUAAAAUUAUAUAGAUAAAUAAUUUGAUUUUAGCUCUAAAAUAUGCACACAUCGCCCGUCACUCUUAUUAUAAGAUAAGAUAAGUCGUAACAUAGUAGAUGUACUGGAAAGUGUCUCUAGAAUGCAAUUUAAAGCUUAUAUAGUAAAGUAUUUCAUUUACAUUGAAGAGAUUUUUGUGCAAAUCAAUAUAAAUUGAUUAAAUUUUAUUUAUUAAUUUAAAUUUUUUAUUGAUUUAAUUUAUUAAAAAUAAUUAUAAAUUUAAUUGUUUUAGUAUUUUUUAAGGAAAAAAUAAAAUUAAUUAUAGUUUAAUAGUAUGGUGAAAGAAAAUUGAAAUAAA